AUAGUUGACAUAUUGUCGUUUUAGGUGGUCUAUUUUUUUUAAACAAGGGGUUAUUUUUUAUAUGAGUUUAAUUUAUGUAUAUGAGUACACUGUAGCUGCCUUCAGACACACCAGAAAAGAGCAUCAGAUCCCAUUACCAUGUGGUUGCUGGGAAUUGAACUCAGGACCUCUGGAAGAACAGUCAGUGCUCUAAACCACUGAGAUAUCUCCAGCCCUAUGUUGUUGGUGGUUUUUUUAAAUGUUUGUAUGUAUGUAUGCAUGUAUGUAUGUAUGUAUAAGAGUGUUCUAUUUACAUGUAUGCCUGCAUGACAAAAGAGGGCAUUAGAUCCCAUUAUAGAUGGUUGUGAGCUACCAUGUGGUUAUUGAACUCUUAACCUCCAAGCCACCUCUCUAGCCCUAGUUUGUUUUUUCCAACCUUUACAUUCUCAAAUGUCUUAGUAUUUUAUACAAAAGCUCCCCUGUUGCCUUUGGUUAUUACAGGGUUUCUGUUGCUAUGAUGAAACAUCUUGACUGAAAACAAUUUGGGGAGGAGAGGGUUUAUUUUAGCUUAUGCUUUCACAUCACUGUCCAUCAGUCAGGGCAAGAACUCAAGGUAGGAACUGAUACUGACUUGCUCAGCUUGGUUUCUUGGACCAUUACUGCCCCAGUACAUUGGGCCCUCCCACACCAAAUACCAAUCAAGAAAAUGCUCUGUAUACUUGCCUACAGGUCAGUAUGAUGAAAGCAUUUUUCUCAAAUGUGUUCCUUCUUCUCAGAUGACCCUAUCUUGUGUCAAAUUGACAGAACACUAACCAGGACACUUUGGUAAUUGAGACAGUUAAAACUAGUUGGAUUCUGGUUUUAAUAAUUGAGAAAUUUAGAUUUUUCUAGUUAUAUAGUUGUAUCUUCAUCUGUGUUUCUCUUUUUUGGAAGUCAGGUACUUGAAUAGAAAGUAUUGGCUGUCCCUCCAAUACCAAGUCCAGUACAGUGGGUAGUGAGAGAUGUCUUGAUCUCUUUGUCUUGGUUUACAGUUUAGUGGCUGAUUUUUAAAUGUCUUACCUUGAGUGUGACAUUUGCUAUGUAGGUUGUUGAUAGUGUUUGAAUCAAAUACUUCUCUGGUUGCAGAGGUAAUCAUGGAUCUCCCUUUUCCAGUUUCUAUUUUUUUUCUUUAUUUUACUUUUGGUUUUCCGAGACAGGGCUUCUCUGUGUAGCCCUGGCUGUCCUGGAACUCACUCUGUAGAGCAGGCUGGCUUCUGCCUCCCAAGUGCUGGGAUUAAAGGCGUGCGCCACCAUGCCCAACAUCCUUUUCCAGUUUCUUAGCAUAGUGUUGUGUUAAUAGAUUCUCAGUGUUGAACAAACCAUGCAUUCCUAGGUUCAAUACUUCAUUUAUAAAUUUGUUCUCUGUUUUGCCCACAGUUUUCUUGCUCUGUAUGCAUUGUUAAAGAGAGAAAACAUCUAUAUGCCCUGUUAAAGAGAGGAGCCUCCCUCCCCCCAAAUAUCAAGUUUGAUUUUAGGUUUUAAUCUUUGAUUACAGAGGCUGUUUCAGUUGUCUUUGCACGAGAGUGCACAUGGGCUGUAUGCUGCUUCUUAGAGGAAGUUCUGGGGAGUUUGGAAAGUAGUAGUGUUGGAAGAUUGCUCGACUGUGAAACUACACAUGGGCUUAAAGUUCUUUCUAUUUCUUCUAUCAUUGUACCUUUUAAAGCUUUUUAAAAAUUGAAAUGUCAGCUUUAGUCUAUUUUUUGUAGUAUUUUUUUUAUAUUUUUAAAUUAAUACUAUUACACUUUUAGUAGUAUACAAUAACAGGUUUUAGUAUUUCAGCAUUUUUUAUACAGUGUGUAAUGUAUUUUUUAUCAUAUUUAACCCUCAUUACCCUAUGUAGUCUCUUUUUACUCCUACUGAUCAUCUUCCUAGUUAGUCUACCUUUUUUGGUGUUUCGAGUUUAGUUGAAGUUGGUUAUGUGAACAUGAGUGAGGGACUUUUUUUUUUUUUUUUUAAAACACAGAGAAAUAGGCAACCUAACAGUGGUGGCUGUAGCAUUGAAGAAAAUUUCUCUUCCAGCAACCAUUAACUAACUACUAGUAGAUCUUCAUGGGGGUGGGGUCGUCCUUUUGUGUCCUUCCACUUAACUGCAUUAACUGCCUAUAAACCCUCUGGAAAGGUUCAAGUCUUAUAAGCUCCUCCCCCAUCCUUGAUACAGUGUUGAACAGUCUAGUCUUGUGAGGUAGCUGCUGUGAGUUGAUGAGUGAUGUGCCAUGUCAUGUCUGGAAGCCAGCCUUUCUCCAGCUCUUAGACUCUUUGUGCCCCCUUUUCUAAGAUAUUCCCUGAGCUUUGGAUGGGGUGAUAACAGAUACUUGAUUUAGGGCUGAACAUGGAACAGUCACUUUCACCACUUUGAUCAGUUUUGAGUUUUCAGUAACCACUAUAAAAAGAAGCUUCUUAGAUAAAGUCGAAGAGCAGCUCUUACUUAAGGGUGUAAGUAAAAUAUUCAGGAGCAGUUUGAUGAGUACAUUUGCCUAUUUAGCCAAGCAACAGUAGUAGCUUCCCCACAGUGUCUUGUGACCCUCUCUAGCCAUGGACUGUUGACUAGAUGUAUAGUUGUAGGAAUAAUUCCUUUCUAUGGAGCAGGCCUUAAAUCCAAUUAAAACAUCUAAUUACCCUCAUCACAGUCAUGGCACUGUUGUACCAGUGGGUACAUCUCGCCUAUGCCUAUAUUAUAUGUGUAAAACAUAUCCUAUAUUAUGUGUAUAAAACACAUUAAAAAGGCACACAAGGCUUUUUCCCGAACUGUACUUGUGUUUUCCACCUUUUGCUUACUAUAAUGGCACUGUUGUCAGCACUGGUACAGAAAUAACUUUAGGUCCUCUAUUACUUUUAGGUGUAUGGGAGUGGCUUGUCACAUUAGUUAUUGGUUUUGGGACCCACUCUAAUAGAAUAAUUUUUAUCUGAACUAAUUAUAUGUGCAAGGUCUUUGCUAUUUGUAAAUAAGGGCAUGUUCUGGGGUUAUAGUGAUCAGGACUUUUGAUGGGCAUUAAUUAUAUGUAGUAUAAUGGAAGAAUGGGUCUUGUUUCUGAUCCCUAUGCACAGUUUCUAAAAAUCUUGGAAUUUGUUCUCUUAUGCUAAUGAAAUGAGUGGAGAGGGGUUUUCUUAGCUUUGAAAUGGGAGCUGGUUGUAUGAAAAACCAACAAUGUGUGUUUAAGGGGUUAGAUGUUGGUGUUCAGCGUUAUAAGGGAUGGUUGAUCUAAAGAAAGACCCUGCAGAAUGAAUUUAGGCUUCUCAGUAGCAGGGGAUUAGCCUCUCAAGUACUGAACCUUAAACUCAUUUUGCAUUAUUGUUGCACAAAAGGCAGUGUCAGUUUCUGUAUAGCAAAAUCUCUGAUCUGAUCUAGGGGUUGUCAGAAGGAACCAUUAUCUAAGCAGUUCUCAGCCAUAGGAAGCUUACUGGUUUGCCAGGUAUGUCUCAGAACUAAGUUGUGCAAAAGCUCUGAGAAUCCUUCAGAAGAGCAACCCCAUAAAGCCUCAGCAAUCACUGACUAUUUACAAAAGGCUACCACAAAGUCUAGGUGCCAUCAUUCCAGAAUUCAUGCCAUAUACAAUGGCUCUGCUAAUAUCUGCUACAGUUUAGAACUUUGAACUCCCGACCUUCCAGGAAUGCAAUCUCAGUGUGCCCUUAUUGUGGACACAUCAGUGAGCUGAGAGGAUGGCAUAUCGUGUUCUUCACUAACUCUUCACUCAGUUGUCUUUGUAAAAUUAAAUUAGGUUGACUUGUAGAUUGUACUAAUUUAAACAGCCACUCUGUAGCAUCAGCACUUCCCUUUUAUGUUGACAAUCCCAGAACCAGGGGUCCAUUCAACAGCACAGCUCCUACUCACUAAAGAUGGCGGAUGAGGGCCAGGCUACCCACUGUGGUGUUUGGGCAGGCUCAGGCUCUACAGUUUAGCGGACUAGUCCACUGGGAAAGAAAGAGCUGUUGGCUUUGUUUUCAUUUGCCUUUGGGAGAGUAGAUGUAGUUUCUGAUGAUGCUCAGUUUGUCAGAUCUUCCAUUGGUUUUUGUAUUGCUGUUACAUAAAAGAAUCUUUGCUUACUCUAAGAACAAAGGUUUUCCUUUGUUCUUUUACAGAGUAUUGAUGCAGAUUCCUUUGUUUAAUUUUUGUCAUGGCCAUACAUUAUGGGUGAAUUCUCCCUUACCUUAUUAUAUUGAGGUAUUUAAAGAUAUUCCUGUUAGGUCGCUGGCUGGCUAGGGAUUCCAGUAACCUCACUCAAGAAGGGAUGGAAUAAAUAGUAUUUGCAGAAAUGGUUUGGAAGUCAUUUAAUGGAUAACAGCCUGCCUGAGUAAUAUAUGGAGCAGCUGUGGACAUGGGGGAGAUGAAUUGUUACUCUAUUGCAGUAUUCAGUAUACAUCGUUUUAAA
RNAcentral lists this long non-coding RNA (4385 nucleotides) under Mus musculus (house mouse). RNAcentral's name for it is "long non-coding RNA chr5:28322471-28326856". The record is from RNAcentral. Lineage: Eukaryota; Metazoa; Chordata; Mammalia; Rodentia; Muridae.